Molecule: long non-coding RNA, 287 nt
Filed under: Lathyrus oleraceus (garden pea)
Lineage: Eukaryota; Viridiplantae; Streptophyta; Magnoliopsida; Fabales; Fabaceae
Description: Pisum sativum (pea) long non-coding RNA (PSAT_LNC013680)
Source: RNAcentral
UAAAAUGAUUUUACACUAUCAAUUAAUCACAUGAAUCAGUUUAAUAUUUUUAAAUUAAUUGUAUAACAAAAUUAAAUGAUGAAUCUCUAUUAAAUAAUACUGUAAAAUUAUAUUGUCAAUACACUAUCUUUAAUUUUUAUUUUUAACUUUUAAUAUAUUAUACCAUAAUAUAUUUUUAAAGAAUUUAUAUAAAUCAUCAAAAUCUUUCUCCAAUACAAAUUUUAAAUUCAAAAAAAAUUAUAUUAUAAAUAAAAAACAAUCUUAAAAUACUCUCACCUAAAAUCUUU